Molecule: ribosomal RNA, 514 nt
Filed under: uncultured bacterium
Lineage: Bacteria
Description: partial 16S ribosomal RNA
Rfam family: Bacterial small subunit ribosomal RNA
Source: RNAcentral
GACGAACGCUGGCGGCGUGCCUAAUACAUGCAAGUCGAGCGAAUUGAUUUGGAGCUUGCUCCAAUGAUGUUAGCGGCGGACGGGUGAGUAACACGUGGGUAACCUGCCUUAUAGAUUGGGAUAACUUCGGGAAACCGGAGCUAAUACCGAAUAAUACUUUUUGACACAUGUCAGUUGGUUGAAGGACGGCUUCGGCUGUCACUAUAAGAUGGACCCGCGGCGCAUUAGCUAGUUGGUGAGGUAACGGCUCACCAAGGCAACGAUGCGUAGCCGACCUGAGAGGGUGAUCGGCCACACUGGGACUGAGACACGGCCCAGACUCCUACGGGAGGCAGCAGUAGGGAAUCUUCCACAAUGGGCGAAAGCCUGAUGGAGCAACGCCGCGUGAGUGAAGAAGGAUUUCGGUUCGUAAAACUCUGUUGCAAGGGAAGAACAAGUAGCGUAGUAACUGGCGCUACCUUGACGGUACCUUGUUAGAAAGCCACGGCUAACUACGUGCCAGCAGCCGCAGUAA